Molecule: ribosomal RNA, 463 nt
Filed under: uncultured Methanomicrobiales archaeon
Lineage: Archaea; Methanobacteriati; Methanobacteriota; Methanomicrobia; Methanomicrobiales
Description: bacterial SSU rRNA
Rfam family: Archaeal small subunit ribosomal RNA
Source: RNAcentral
CACCACAACAGGCGGAGCCUGCGGUUUAAUCGGACUCAAACGCCGGGAAACUCACCAGAUAAGACAGCUGAAUGAUAGUCGGGCUGAAGACUCUACUUGACUAGCUGAGAGGAGGUGCAUGGCCGUCGUCAGUUCGUACUGUGAAGCAUCCUGUUAAGUCAGGCAACGAGCGAGACCCACGCCAACAGUUGCCAGCUCGUCCUCCGGGAUGGUGGGGACACUGUUGGGACCGCCUCUGCUAAAGAGGAGGAAGGAAUGGGCAACGGUAGGUCAGCAUGCCCCGAAUUAUCUGGGCUACACGCGGGCUACAAUGGGUGGGACAAUGGGUAUCGACACCGAAAGGUGAAGGCAAUCUCCUAAACCCAUCCGUAGUUCGGAUUGUGGGCUGCAACUCGCCCACAUGAAGCUGGAAUCUGUAGUAAUCGUGUCUCAAAAUGGCACGGUGAAUAUGUCCCUGCUCCUU